CCUUCUUUGUAUUUGAGAUCAUUCGUUGCUAAAAGAUUUUUCGAGUGCAACGAUUGUGUGUGGAGUUGAGAAUUGUAGGCUUUUGUUACAUUAUUCGUAUGUUAAUUAGUUUGUGGACGUGAUGGGUUGCACAAGAUAUCUAGAGGUGUAAUUUUUAUAUUUAGUUGUUUGUUCUAUUGGAUUGUUUUUUUAUUUGUCUAUUCUUUAAUUUUUAGGUUAACUUUGUGGAUAUAUUUUGGAUUUUUUCUUUCUAGUGGGCAUUUCAAUUGGCCAAUUGUAAUUUUUUUUUGCCGCAUUUUGGAUUUGGUGAUCAAGUCAAGAGAUCAUUAUUUAUUUAUUUUUUUUUUGAAAAAAACCAUAUUGAUUAAUUGUCUUUUUUAUAUUUAGGUGUUGAGACACAAAGCUCUUGACCUUCUCAAGCCUAAACUCUCUCUUAUAAAUAAAUAAGGAACAUUGAGCUUUGUGGUCUAUGAAGUGGUUGCUAAAGUUGUUAUGGGAAAAAAAUAUUACUGGUCUUGGAGUGGAAAAUUCUCAAAGAGAGGAAGAGAAGAAGUAGCUGUAGAGGCAGCCACUGUUGUUAGUCUAAAAGUUACAAGAGGCAGUCUGAUUGUUGUUGAAGAGAAGGAGGUGUGUUAUAAGCUGACUCAAAAUCAAGAGACUCCAAAUAGCAGAGUUAAUCAAACACUCAAACAUAGUUAAUCGCCAUAUACUUAUUAUGAUCACUGAAGCUAUAUGAUUAUAUGUAUAUAAGUUUAUUAUCCAAAGAGCAUAAUUUCAACUAUAUUCGGUUUUGUCAUAUGUCUUAUUUUUUAAUUAUGUCA
Molecule: long non-coding RNA, 821 nt
Organism: Cannabis sativa
Lineage: Eukaryota; Viridiplantae; Streptophyta; Magnoliopsida; Rosales; Cannabaceae
Exons: 2
Source: RefSeq, a predicted model, not a curated record